This 1170-nucleotide ribosomal RNA is filed under the name Vibrio parahaemolyticus. Its description in RNAcentral is "bacterial SSU rRNA". It matches the Rfam family "Bacterial small subunit ribosomal RNA", at positions 301 to 1468 of the family's 1533-position model. The record is from RNAcentral. Lineage: Bacteria; Pseudomonadati; Pseudomonadota; Gammaproteobacteria; Vibrionales; Vibrionaceae.
UGAUCAGGCCACACCUGGAACUGAAGAACACGGUCCAGACUCUACGGAAGGCAGCAGUGGGGAUAUUGCACAAUGGCGCAAGCUGAUGCAGCAUGCGCGUGUGUGAAGAAGCUUCGGGUGUAAAGCACUUCAGUCGUGAGGAAGGGUAGUGUAGUUAAUAGCUGCAUUAUUUGACGUUAGCGACAGAAGAAGCACCGGCUAACUCCGUGCCAGCAGCCGCGGUAAUACGGAGGGUGCGAGCGUUAAUCGGAAUUACUGGGCGUAAAGCGCAUGCAGGUGGUUUGUUAAGUCAGAUGUGAAAGCCCGGGGCUCAACCUCGGAAUUGCAUUUGAAACUGGCAGACUAGAGUACUGUAGAGGGGGGUAGAAUUUCAGGUGUAGCGGUGAAAUGCGUAGAGAUCUGAAGGAAUACCGGUGGCGAAGGCGGCCCCCUGGACAGAUACUGACACUCAGAUGCGAAAGCGUGGGGAGCAAACAGGAUUAGAUACCCUGGUAGUCCACGCCGUAAACGAUGUCUACUUGGAGGUUGUGGCCUUGAGCCGUGGCUUUCGGAGCUAACGCGUUAAGUAGACCGCCUGGGGAGUACGGUCGCAAGAUUAAAACUCAAAUGAAUUGACGGGGGCCCGCACAAGCGGUGGAGCAUGUGGUUUAAUUCGAUGCAACGCGAAGAACCUUACCUACUCUUGACAUCCAGAGAACUUUCCAGAGAUGGAUUGGUGCCUUCGGGAACUCUGAGACAGGUGCUGCAUGGCUGUCGUCAGCUCGUGUUGUGAAAUGUUGGGUUAAGUCCCGCAACGAGCGCAACCCUUAUCCUUGUUUGCCAGCGAGUAAUGUCGGGAACUCCAGGGAGACUGCCGGUGAUAAACCGGAGGAAGGUGGGGACGACGUCAAGUCAUCAUGGCCCUUACGAGUAGGGCUACACACGUGCUACAAUGGCGCAUACAGAGGGCGGCCAACUUGCGAAAGUGAGCGAAUCCCAAAAAGUGCGUCGUAGUCCGGAUUGGAGUCUGCAACUCGACUCCAUGAAGUCGGAAUCGCUAGUAAUCGUGGAUCAGAAUGCCACGGUGAAUACGUUCCCGGGCCUUGUACACACCGCCCGUCACACCAUGGGAGUGGGCUGCAAAAGAAGUAGGUAGUUUAACCUUCGGGGGGACGCUUACCACUUAAGUGC